GACGAACGCUGGCGGCGUGCUUAACACAUGCAAGUCGAGCGGUAAGGCCUCUUCGGGGGUACACGAGCGGCGAACGGGUGCGUAACACGUGGGUGACCUGCCCUCAGCUCUGGGAUAAGCCUGGGAAACUGGGUCUAAUACCGGAUAUGACCUUUCCUCGCAUGGGGUUUGGUGGAAAGUUUUUUCGGCUGGGGAUGGGCCCGCGGCCUAUCAGCUUGUUGGUGGGGUGAUGGCCUACCAAGGCGACGACGGGUAGCCGGCCUGAGAGGGCGACCGGCCACACUGGGACUGAGACACGGCCCAGACUUCUACGGGAGGCAGCAGUGGGGAAUAGUGCGCAAUGGGCGGGAGCCUGACGGAGCGACGCCGCGUGGGGGAUGACGGCCUUCGGGUUGUAAACCUCUUUCGACCCCGACGAAUUUGGACGGUAGGGGUAGAAGAAGCACCGGCCAACUACGUG
RNAcentral lists this ribosomal RNA (460 nucleotides) under uncultured bacterium. RNAcentral's name for it is "partial 16S ribosomal RNA". It matches the Rfam family "Bacterial small subunit ribosomal RNA", at positions 28 to 507 of the family's 1533-position model. The record is from RNAcentral.